GCCUUCGUGGUGUAGUGGUCAGCACGCUCGGCGCAUACUCCAGAGGUCCGUAGUUCGAUUCUCGGCGAGGGCA
Non-coding RNA from Stegodyphus mimosarum, 73 nucleotides. The record is from Rfam. NCBI's taxonomy places the organism in Eukaryota, Metazoa, Arthropoda, Arachnida, Araneae, Eresidae.